GGAGAGGUGGCCGAGUGGUUAAAGGCGACGGACUGUAAAUCCGUUCUCUCAGAGUACGAAGGUUCGAAUCCUUCCCUCUCCACCA
RNAcentral lists this transfer RNA (85 nucleotides) under Sulfuriferula sp. RNAcentral's name for it is "tRNA-Tyr". It matches the Rfam family "tRNA". From Rfam's summary of the family: Transfer RNA (tRNA) molecules are approximately 80 nucleotides in length. Their secondary structure includes four short double-helical elements and three loops (D, anti-codon, and T loops). Further hydrogen bonds mediate the characteristic L-shaped molecular structure. tRNAs have two regions of fundamental functional importance: the anti-codon, which is responsible for specific mRNA codon recognition, and the 3' end, to which the tRNAs corresponding amino acid is attached (by aminoacyl-tRNA synthetases). tRNAs cope with the degeneracy of the genetic code in two manners: having more than one tRNA (with a specific anti-codon) for a particular amino acid; and 'wobble' base-pairing, i.e. permitting non-standard base-pairing at the 3rd anti-codon position. The record is from RNAcentral. RNAcentral also lists the same sequence under 5 other names. Lineage: Bacteria; Pseudomonadati; Pseudomonadota; Betaproteobacteria; Nitrosomonadales; Sulfuricellaceae.